GAGGACACACAGGGACUUAGCUCUGCACUGCCAGACUCCAGGACGGCUCACAGGCACAUUAAGAGUUGGAUAAAUGCUGAAGGAAUCACCGUCAAUGUAAGCACUAAGCCUUGGGCUGGGGACUUGAUAGGCAUCUGUUCAUUUGCUCUGAUCUGGGUGAUGAGAAUAUGGUGAACAAAAGAGGUCCUGCUGUCAGGGGUCUCCCCUUCUGGGCAGCCUGAGAGGUGAUGCACAGACAAGCAUGCUGCCUGGUGUCCAGACCGGUGACAACUGCUCUGAAGAGUUAAAGGACAUCCUGGGAAGUGCUGUUUCUCAGAGGCUGGUCUUCAAAGUCUUCACCCAGGGAGAACAUUCGAGCACAAAAUCCUGAAUGAAGUGGGAGGUAAGAAAUGAUUGAAAAGAAAUGACCCAUGGGAUUAGAGAGAUGUCUCAGUGGUUAAAAGCACUGGCUGUUCUUGCAGAAGACCAAGGCUCAGUUCCCAGCACCCACAUGGCAGCUUUAUAACCACUGUUCCAAGGACUCUGACAUCCUCUUUAGGCCCUGUGGGCACUGUGUACAUGUGGUGCAUGUACAUUCAUUCAGGCAAAACAUUCACACAUACUAAAUAAAAAUAAUAAAUUUUUUUCAAGAAGAAA
This is a non-coding RNA of Myodes glareolus (Bank vole), 636 nucleotides long. Lineage: Eukaryota; Metazoa; Chordata; Mammalia; Rodentia; Cricetidae. The record is from RefSeq and is a predicted model, not a curated record.